GGGACUCUCACCUCUAGGUGGUUCCAAGCAUCUGAUUCUGCCUUCCUGGUUUCCCAGGGCUGCUGGUUGCUUCCUCCCGGGCUUCUGGCUCUGGGCAUCUCUUGGCUGUAGCUGAGCCGCUCAGGCAGCGCUUCCACAAAGCAGAGCAGAGCAAACUGUCUGUAGAAGCAGGCUUGCCGGUCCCUGGGUUUCUGCUGCCGGAGCUGCUCGGGGACUGUACAGGACCAGCAGGCGACACCCUGCCAGGAUACGCUGUCUGCUGUCACCUCUGUGCCAGACAUGGGGCCUACUCCUUACAGACGCCGUCUCACUUCAUCUCCCAGUUCUGCUCUGAAGAAGGCAGAAAGAAGCCCAGUGGCCUGGCUGGCAUGGCCGGUGGGCUGCAGGCCCCAGCUUCCCCCUCAGCUGAACCUGAUGGGCUGAAAUCACCUUGCCUCUGGAUCAUGAGUCUUGAGAAGUUGUGGAGAGAGGUGUCAGAGAACCACCUUAACACUGUUCUGCAUUCUCCACCAUCAUCAUCUUCACCAUCCUCCCAGGCACAGGCAUGGGAUGCAACUCUAGCUUCUGAGGAGAAAGGAGAGGUCCUUUGGGCAUUUGGGGGAAGGAUUUCCUCCCAGAUGAAAAGGAUAUGUGAGAAGAAGUUGCCCCUCCUGUUCUUGGUCACAGUUCUAUGAAGAUACGCUGUUGGAGGCUAAGGCGGCCAUCUUGCAACCAUGAGAUAAACCUGAAGACAAAAGCCAGUGAACCAAGCAGCAGAGUAGAAAACCCUUGAUUAAAUGAAAUUAAACAAUCUCCUCCCAGCUACCUUUGUACUACUUGUUAUAUGAGAUUACAAAACCUUUGUUGCUGAAGCCAUUGAUGCAGGAGGAUCACUCAGGGAGCUUGUUGUAACACAGAGACUCUGACUCAGUGGAGCUGGAGUGAGGCCCAUGAAUUUGCAUUUCCAAC
This 948-nucleotide long non-coding RNA is filed under the name Equus caballus (horse). RNAcentral's name for it is "lncRNA (ENSECAG00000035012.2)". Lineage: Eukaryota; Metazoa; Chordata; Mammalia; Perissodactyla; Equidae. The record is from RNAcentral.